This 433-nucleotide ribosomal RNA is filed under the name uncultured bacterium. RNAcentral describes it as "partial 16S ribosomal RNA". It matches the Rfam family "Bacterial small subunit ribosomal RNA", at positions 29 to 507 of the family's 1533-position model. The record is from RNAcentral.
AACGAACGCUGGCGGCAUGCCUAACACAUGCAAGUCGAACGAGACCUUCGGGUCUAUUGGCGCACGGGUGCGUACCGCGUGGUAACCUGCCCUUAGGUUCGGAAUAACUCCCCGAAAGGUGUGCUAAUACCGGAUAAUGUCUUCGGACCAAAGAUUUAUGGCCUUUGGAUGGGCCCGCGUUGGAUUCGCUAGUUGGUAGUGUAAAAGCCUACCAAGGCGACGAUCCAUAGCUGGUCUGAGAGGAUGAUAAGCCACACUGGGAAUGAGACACGGACCAGAAUCGUACGGGGGGGAGCAGUAGGGAAUAUUGGAGAAUGGGCGAAAGCCUGAUCAAGCAAUGCCGCGUGAGUGAUGAAGGCCUUAGGGUUGUAAAGCUCUUUUACCCGGGAUGAUAAUGACAGUACCGGGAGAAUAAGCUCCGGCUAACUCCGUG